This 854-nucleotide long non-coding RNA is filed under the name Ananas comosus (pineapple). RNAcentral's name for it is "long non-coding RNA (ACOM_LNC016636)". The record is from RNAcentral. Lineage: Eukaryota; Viridiplantae; Streptophyta; Magnoliopsida; Poales; Bromeliaceae.
UAUAUAUAUAAAGAGAGAGAGAAUGAAAGGGAGAGAGAUCCAAGAUCUCUUUUAACAGAGAUCAAAAAAGAGAGGUAAAGAAAGAGGGGUCAUCCACAUCUUCGAUUUGCAAAACAAAAUAAAAAAAAAAGAGAGCAAAAGAAAGAGCAAAAGAAGGUAGAAGAAAGAAAGUUAAAAAUAAAUAGAGAGGAUCAAACAGAAAAUCGGCAAACAACGCUGCAGGAGGAGAGUUAAAAAUAAAUAGGGAGGAUCGCACAGAGAAUCGACGAACAACGCUGCAGGAGGAAAGGUCUUCCAUAUUGCAAGGGAGGAUCGUACAGAGAAUCGGCGAACAAUGCUGCAGGAGGGGAGGUCUUCCAUAUCGCACACAAUCCACAGUUUGCUUACUUAAAAAAAAAAAAAAGAGAGAGAGAAUAAAGAGAACGUAGAAGAAAGGUAGAGGGUACCAGAGAAACAAAGUAGAUAAGGAUUAAACAAAAAAAAAGAAGAAUAUAUAUAAAAAAUAAAAUAAAAAAACAAAGAGAAGAAGAACUGUGCUCCUCCUCCUCCCUUCCCUGUCCGUUGACGUACUCGCUGCAUCCACCGCGUCCGCCGCCACGUCUACCAAACCCGUCGCUGCCCGAGGCCGCGUCCACCGCGUUUGCCGCCGCCACUGCCGCGUCUACCGUCGACGACGCCCAACGCCGCCCGCUGCCGCAUCCACCACGUCCGUUGCCGCGUCCACCGUCGACGACGCCCAACGCCGCCCGGAGUCAGCCCAACCCGGCGCUGUCCGCUGCCGUACCCGCCGACGUCGCCCAACGCUGCUGAAGCCGCUGUUGCCACAGCAUCCACCGCCCAAGUUGCCCGACGCC